Molecule: ribosomal RNA, 445 nt
Filed under: uncultured bacterium
Lineage: Bacteria
Description: bacterial SSU rRNA
Rfam family: Bacterial small subunit ribosomal RNA
Source: RNAcentral
GUGGGGAAUAUUGGACAAUGGGGGAAACCCUGAUCCAGCAACGCCGCGUGGGUGAUGAAGGCCUUCGGGUCGUAAAGCCCUGUUGGGUGGGAAGAAACGGUGCCGUAACGAAGCACCCUGACGUCACCACCUGAGGAAGCACCGGCUAACUCUGUGCCAGCAGCCGCGGUAAUACAGAGGGUGCAAGCGUUGUUCGGAAUUAUUGGGCGUAAAGGGCGCGUAGGCGGAAAGGCAUGUCAGGUGUGAAAUCCCUGGGCUCAACUCAGGAACUGCAUUUGAAACUGCCUAUCUAGAGUGCGGUAGAGGAUAGUGGAAUUCCCGGUGUAGAGGUGAAAUUCGUAGAUAUCGGGAGGAACACCAGUGGCGAGAGCGGCUAUCUGGGCCGACACUGACGCUGAGGCGCGAGAGCGUGGGUAGCAAACAGGAUUAGAAACCCCAGUAGUCC